This 74-nucleotide transfer RNA is filed under the name Prototheca wickerhamii. RNAcentral describes it as "tRNA-His". It matches the Rfam family "tRNA". Rfam says of the family: Transfer RNA (tRNA) molecules are approximately 80 nucleotides in length. Their secondary structure includes four short double-helical elements and three loops (D, anti-codon, and T loops). Further hydrogen bonds mediate the characteristic L-shaped molecular structure. tRNAs have two regions of fundamental functional importance: the anti-codon, which is responsible for specific mRNA codon recognition, and the 3' end, to which the tRNAs corresponding amino acid is attached (by aminoacyl-tRNA synthetases). tRNAs cope with the degeneracy of the genetic code in two manners: having more than one tRNA (with a specific anti-codon) for a particular amino acid; and 'wobble' base-pairing, i.e. permitting non-standard base-pairing at the 3rd anti-codon position. Lineage: Eukaryota; Viridiplantae; Chlorophyta; Trebouxiophyceae; Chlorellales; Chlorellaceae. The record is from RNAcentral.
GGCGAGUAUAACUUAGUCGGUUAAAGUGCUAGACUGUGACUCUGGAAACAUGGGUUCAAAUCCCAUUAUUCGCC